UGAGUCUGCAUAUGUGUAUGCGUGUGGGU
This 29-nucleotide non-coding RNA is filed under the name Rattus norvegicus (Norway rat). Lineage: Eukaryota; Metazoa; Chordata; Mammalia; Rodentia; Muridae. The record is from RNAcentral.